UGCAUGAGUGAGCACCGCGGUCUCAGCCCAAGCCAUUUGGCUCUGCGUCGCCCAAGGAUAUGUGAGGGGGAUUCAGUUGGCGGGGACAGCAAUGUUCAUUGCUUGAGCACCCCCUGUUAUCCGUCUGGGUGCCCAGGGCUUGCUCUCUGCGCAUGCAUAUGAUCGGGUCUCCGGCGUGUGUUCUGUAAGUGGCCAGAACCUUUUUAUGUUUCUGUGGUGGAUUUUGUUCUUUCACAUCCUAGGUAAUAUAUGCCACAAUGCCUAAUGGCUAAAAUCUGUGCAAAGGUGUUAAAAGACCUUACAGCAGUGAGUGUUGGGUCAGCACAUUCCUAUGGUCUGUUCUGUGCUGAAAUAAACUGAGUUGCAGGGAUUUUAUUGGUGAAGUCCCAUCAGACCCUAGCACUGGUCAUUAUCCGGCUGCCGUAAGUAAAAAGGAGGUUUCCACCAGCAGCAGCCUGACCCAUGCAAGCAGCGGGGUGUGAGAGGGGGAGAGGCAGUUUGUAUGAAGGCAUGUGACAGUUUCCACUUCUGAAGAGAGUGAAGCACAUAUGACCUGAGAAACAGGAGACAAGAAAAGUGUCAUUAAAAAACAAUUAGGAAAAUCUCUCAGCACAACCAAACAAUUAGAGAUAACAAUGUAAGAUCCAGGAGUACACCUGCCUAGUGUCCAGUAGUAGUAAUGGCCAUUAUAAUGAAUAAAUAAAUAAAAUAACACUUUACUGUU
This is a long non-coding RNA of Anguilla anguilla (European eel), 724 nucleotides long. RefSeq lists it as uncharacterized. The record is from RefSeq and is a predicted model, not a curated record. The transcript has 4 exons. NCBI's taxonomy places the organism in Eukaryota, Metazoa, Chordata, Actinopteri, Anguilliformes, Anguillidae.